Molecule: long non-coding RNA, 208 nt
Filed under: Elaeis guineensis (African oil palm)
Lineage: Eukaryota; Viridiplantae; Streptophyta; Magnoliopsida; Arecales; Arecaceae
Description: long non-coding RNA (EGUI_LNC059159)
Source: RNAcentral
UCUCAUCAUCGACAUCAUCGAAACUCCUUUCGAUGGACCAGAACUCUUCUGAUUCAGAUAAUUAGAAUGAUCGAUCAUCAAUAUCAUUCUAAUUGCUCCCAAAAUCCAUCAGUGACACCUAACAGUAUGUGGUGGCAACCCAUCAGAACUGAAGAUGAACCUCUCAGUGCAGCUACCUGUGUGAUUGAGUUCCUCUAUCAUGAGUCCC